GCGGCGGCGUCCUGGAGGGCCCGGAGGCGGCGGCGUCCACCUGGCGGCGGCGUCCUGGAGGGCCCGGAGGCGGCGGCUCCUCAUCCAAAGAAAUGAGGCGACGUUGCGGAGGUCCUGGCGGUCGGCCCGGUGGAGGUCCUGGAGGAGACGGUCCCGGCGGUGGAGGUCCAGGCGGUCGGCCCGGUGGAGGUCCAGGCGGUCGGCCCGGUGGAGGUCCUGGAGGAGACGGUCCCGGCGGUGGAGGUCCAGGCGGUCGGCCCGGUGGAGGUCCUGGAGGAGACGGUCCCGGCGGUGGAGGACGGCUGGGGGGUCCGGCGGUGGAGGUCCGAAGGCGGCUCGUGAUUAGACCAACCAGCUCCUCAUCCAUGGAAGGAUUGAAGGAGUCACUGGGGAUGAAGAUCACUGCUCAGGGGCUGACGACCACUCAUCUUUCCGGAGAAGCGUCCUCAUGGUGCAGGCGGUCAAACCUCCACCUCUUUGAAGAGACCAAGCAGCUUGAUGACUGACUGACUGGUUCUUUAUACUCAAGACCUCGUCCCAGAGCAGAGGACGGACCUAAGGCCCGCAGCGCAGCCGACUAGAGACUCCAUGUGGAACCGAGAAUAAGAUCUGACUUCAGCCAAUCAGCGGGAUGUCCUUGAACAAGAGCCAAUGGCUGAAGGUUCAAUUAAGUUGACCUCUCCUUCAGGCGACUUAAAGGGAGACCAGAUGUGCGGCAGCUGGGUGUCAUGGUGCAGAGACCCAACGCUGUACUGAACUACACCAGUGUGUCCUACUCCCAUAAACCCUGAGGAUCCCUGGAUGGCUACACCAGCACAUUAAUCCACACCCAACAUCAACACACAGUGCACACUCUAUAGAGCUCGUAAGUCCGCCCCUUGCGGCGGGACCUCGUGAGAUCGUAAGAUAUGACUGGGUUUCAAUGGAGAGAAAGUAAUUAUUUUCUCCAUUUUAUGUUGCACCACAUUUUGGGGGAAGAAUGUUUGAAUCAAUCUUUGUCAUUUAUUUCUGUACUCCACAUCUGUAAUCCCAGCUGUUGUAUUUUAACACGGUAGCUGGGAACCCUCUUUAUAGGGAGCGACUAGAGGGACGAGGCUGGAAGCAAACCUGAGCCUGGAUCUUAACCUUCUUUCUAAACCUAAUGCCGCAAUUUAACCGCAAAUAAAGUGAGGCCUAAAGUAACUUGACUCUCUUACCUAAACUUGCUUGCCUAUACUCGCUUGUCUAAACUCGCUUGCAUAAAACCUAAACUCGCUUGCAUAAAACCUGAACUUGCUUGGCUAAACUCGCGUCGCUUGCCUAAUACCUGAACUUGACUAAACUCGCUUGCCUAAUACCUGAACUCGCUUGCCUGAACUCGCUUGCCUGAACUCGCUUGCCUGAACUCGCUUGCCUGAACUCGCUUGCCUGAACUUGCUUGCCUGAACUCGCUUGCCUAAACUCGCUUGCAUAAAACCUAAACUCGCUUGCAUAAAACCUAAACUCGCUUAGCUUGACUCGCUUGCCUGUACUCGCUUGGCUAAACUCGCUUGCCUAAUACCUGAAGUCGCUUGCCUAAUACCUGAAGUCGCUUGCCUAAUACCUGAAGUCGCUUGCCUAAUACCUGAAGUCGCUUGCCUAAAACCUAAAC
Long non-coding RNA from Gadus macrocephalus (Pacific cod), 1630 nucleotides. RefSeq lists it as uncharacterized. The record is from RefSeq and is a predicted model, not a curated record. Lineage: Eukaryota; Metazoa; Chordata; Actinopteri; Gadiformes; Gadidae. The transcript is spliced from 7 exons.